CCUAAGGCCGGCGGAAGAAGCAUUGUCAAGGAACUCGGCAAAAUGGCCCCGUAACUUAGGGAUAAGGGGUGCCUGGGAAACCAGGCCGCAGAGAAUAGGCUCAAGCAACUGUUUAGCAAAAACACAGGUCUAUGCGAAACCGAAAGGUGAGGUAUAUGCUGACGCCUGCCCGGUGCUGGAAGGUUAAGAGGAGAGGUUAGCGGUAACGCGAAGCUUUGAAUUUAAGCCCCAGUAAACGGCGGCCGUAACUAUAACGGUCCUAAGGUAGCGAAAUUCCUUGUCGGGUAAGUUCCGACCCGCACGAAAGGCGUAAUGAUUUGAGCGCUGUCUCGACAAUGCAUCCGGUGAAAUUGAAGUACCAGUGAAGAUGCUGGUUACCUGCGCCAGGACGGAAAGACCCCAUGGAGCUUUACUCCAGUCUGGUACUGGGACUCGGUAUUGCAUGUACAGGAUAGGUGGGAGGCUAGGAGAUGGUAACGCCAGUUGCCAUGGAGCCGCUGUUGGGAUACCACC
Molecule: ribosomal RNA, 513 nt
Filed under: Ruminococcus sp. AM50-15BH
Lineage: Bacteria; Bacillati; Bacillota; Clostridia; Eubacteriales; Oscillospiraceae
Description: partial 23S ribosomal RNA
Rfam family: Bacterial large subunit ribosomal RNA
Source: RNAcentral